RNAcentral lists this ribosomal RNA (443 nucleotides) under uncultured bacterium. Its description in RNAcentral is "bacterial SSU rRNA". It matches the Rfam family "Bacterial small subunit ribosomal RNA", at positions 958 to 1402 of the family's 1533-position model. The record is from RNAcentral.
AACGCGAAGAACCUUACCUACUCUUGACAUCCUGCGAAUCUGACUGAGAGGUUGGAGUGCCGAAAGGAACGCAGAGACAGGUGCUGCAUGGCUGUCGUCAGCUCGUGUUGUGAGAUGUUGGGUUAAGUCCCGUAACGAGCGCAACCCUUGUCCUUAGUUGCCAUCAAGUAAAGUUGGGGACUCUAAGGAGACUGCCGGUGAUGAACCGGAGGAAGGCGGGGACGACGUCAAGUCAUCAUGGCCUUUAUGAGUAGGGCUACACACGUGCUACAAUGGGGCAUACAAAGAGUAGCCAACCCGCGAGGGGGAGCCAAUCUAAUAAAGUGUCUCGUAGUCCGGAUUGGAGUCUGCAACUCGACUCCAUGAAGUUGGAAUCGCUAGUAAUCGCGAAUCAGCAACGUCGCGGUGAAUACGUUCCCGGGCCUUGUACACACCGGACACGC